RNAcentral lists this signal recognition particle RNA (87 nucleotides) under Treponema sp. RNAcentral's name for it is "signal recognition particle sRNA small type". It matches the Rfam family "Bacterial small signal recognition particle RNA". From Rfam's summary of the family: The signal recognition particle (SRP) is a universally conserved ribonucleoprotein involved in the co-translational targeting of proteins to membranes. Archaeal SRP consists of a 7S RNA and homologues of the eukaryotic SRP19 and SRP54 proteins. The record is from RNAcentral. Lineage: Bacteria; Pseudomonadati; Spirochaetota; Spirochaetia; Treponematales; Treponemataceae.
GGAACCAUGCGAGGAGAGGCCGCCCAACCCCGUCAGGUCCGGAAGGAAGCAGCGGUAAGCGGAUCUCUUCUGCGCCGUGGGGGUGCA